Long non-coding RNA from Sebastes umbrosus (honeycomb rockfish), 269 nucleotides. RefSeq lists it as uncharacterized. The transcript has 3 exons. Lineage: Eukaryota; Metazoa; Chordata; Actinopteri; Perciformes; Sebastidae. The record is from RefSeq and is a predicted model, not a curated record.
UCUCAGGUGGAAGUGCCUCCAGUUACUCUUGAUGAUCAACAGCACAAGUCCAGUCAGAGCUCAGAGGAAAUGUCAGCUGGAAACAACAGGAGACAUUAAAUAUCAGCCAUCGCAGAAAGGAAAAGCACAAGAAACAAGUUAAAAAACAGUGAAUGCAUACUCUUCAGACAUCAUCAACUACCGGCCAACAAGGGUACCUGAUCUCCGUGGGCGUGUCUGCCAAUGACGAUGGGCUUCAUCCAGCCCGGCACCAGGCGGGGGAUGUUCUU